GACGAACUGCCCAAACGUUGUUCGGAAUCACUGGGCUUAAAGGGCGCGUAGGCGGCAGAUCAAGUCAGGGGUGAAAUCCGGCAGCUCAACUGUCGAAGUGCCUUUGAUACUGAUUUGCUCGAGGGGAUAUAGGGGUCUGUGGAACUUCUGGUGGAGCGGUGAAAUGCGUUGAUAUCAGAAGGAACGCCGGUGGCGAAAGCGACGGACUGGAUAUCUUCUGACGCUGGAGGCGACGAAAGCUAGGGGAGCAAACGGG
This 256-nucleotide ribosomal RNA is filed under the name uncultured bacterium. Its description in RNAcentral is "partial 16S ribosomal RNA". It matches the Rfam family "Bacterial small subunit ribosomal RNA", at positions 524 to 776 of the family's 1533-position model. The record is from RNAcentral.